AGAUUAAGUUAUUAAGGGCGCACGGUGGAUGCCUUGGCACUAGAAGCCGAUGAAGGACGUUACUAACGACGAUAUGCUUUGGGGAGCUGUAAGUAAGCUUUGAUCCAGAGAUUUCCGAAUGGGGAAACCCAGCAUGAGUUAUGUCAUGUUAUCGAUAUGUGAAUACAUAGCAUAUCAGAAGGCACACCCGGAGAACUGAAACAUCUUAGUACCCGGAGGAAGAGAAAGAAAAUUCGAUUCCCUUAGUAGCGGCGAGCGAAACGGGAAGAGCCCAAACCAACAAGCUUGCUUGUUGGGGUUGUAGGACACUCUAUACGGAGUUACAAAGGACGACAUUAGACGAAUCAUCUGGAAAGAUGAAUCAAAGAAGGUAAUAAUCCUGUAGUCGAAAAUGUUGUCUCUCUUGAGUGGAUCCUGAGUACGACGGAGCACGUGAAAUUCCGUCGGAAUCUGGGAGGACCAUCUCCUAAGGCUAAAUACUCUCUAGUGACCGAUAGUGAACCAGUACCGUGAGGGAAAGGUGAAAAGCACCCCGGAAGGGGAGUGAAAUAGAACCUGAAACCGUGUGCUUACAAGUAGUCAGAGCCCGUUAAUGGGUGAUGGCGUGCCUUUUGUAGAAUGAACCGGCGAGUUACGAUUUGAUGCAAGGUUAAGCAGUAAAUGUGGAGCCGUAGCGAAAGCGAGUCUGAAUAGGGCGUUUAGUAUUUGGUCGUAGACCCGAAACCAGGUGAUCUACCCUUGGUCAGGUUGAAGUUCAGGUAACACUGAAUGGAGGACCGAACCGACUUACGUUGAAAAGUGAGCGGAUGAACUGAGGGUAGCGGAGAAAUUCCAAUCGAACCUGGAGAUAGCUGGUUCUCUCCGAAAUAGCUUUAGGGCUAGCCUCAAGUGAUGAUUAUUGGAGGUAGAGCACUGUUUGGACGAGGGGCCCUCUCGGGUUACCGAAUUCAGACAAACUCCGAAUGCCAAUUAAUUUAACUUGGGAGUCAGAACAUGGGUGAUAAGGUCCGUGUUCGAAAGGGAAACAGCCCAGACCACCAGCUAAGGUCCCAAAAUAUAUGUUAAGUGGAAAAGGAUGUGGCGUUGCCCAGACAACUAGGAUGUUGGCUUAGAAGCAGCCAUCAUUUAAAGAGUGCGUAAUAGCUCACUAGUCGAGUGACACUGCGCCGAAAAUGUACCGGGGCUAAACAUAUUACCGAAGCUGUGGAUUGUCCUUUGGACAAUGGUAGGAGAGCGUUCUAAGGGCGUUGAAGCAUGAUCGUAAGGACAUGUGGAGCGCUUAGAAGUGAGAAUGCCGGUGUGAGUAGCGAAAGACGGGUGAGAAUCCCGUCCACCGAUUGACUAAGGUUUCCAGAGGAAGGCUCGUCCGCUCUGGGUUAGUCGGGUCCUAAGCUGAGGCCGACAGGCGUAGGCGAUGGAUAACAGGUUGAUAUUCCUGUACCACCUAUAAUCGUUUUAAUCGAUGGGGGGACGCAGUAGGAUAGGCGAAGCGUGCGAUUGGAUUGCACGUCUAAGCAGUAAGGCUGAGUAUUAGGCAAAUCCGGUACUCAUUAAGGCUGAGCUGUGAUGGGGAGAAGACAUUGUGUCUUCGAGUCGUUGAUUUCACACUGCCGAGAAAAGCCUCUAGAUAGAAAAUAGGUGCCCGUACCGCAAACCGACACAGGUAGUCAAGAUGAGAAUUCUAAGGUGAGCGAGCGAACUCUCGUUAAGGAACUCGGCAAAAUGACCCCGUAACUUCGGGAGAAGGGGUGCUCUUUAGGGUUAACGCCCAGAAGAGCCGCAGUGAAUAGGCCCAAGCGACUGUUUAUCAAAAACACAGGUCUCUGCUAAACCGUAAGGUGAUGUAUAGGGGCUGACGCCUGCCCGGUGCUGGAAGGUUAAGAGGAGUGGUUAGCUUCUGCGAAGCUACGAAUCGAAGCCCCAGUAAACGGCGGCCGUAACUAUAACGGUCCUAAGGUAGCGAAAUUCCUUGUCGGGUAAGUUCCGACCCGCACGAAAGGCGUAACGAUUUGGGCACUGUCUCAACGAGAGACUCGGUGAAAUCAUAGUACCUGUGAAGAUGCAGGUUACCCGCGACAGGACGGAAAGACCCCGUGGAGCUUUACUGUAGCCUGAUAUUGAAAUUCGGCACAGCUUGUACAGGAUAGGUAGGAGCCUUUGAAACGUGAGCGCUAGCUUACGUGGAGGCGCUGGUGGGAUACUACCCUAGCUGUGUUGGCUUUCUAACCCGCACCACUUAUCGUGGUGGGAGACAGUGUCAGGCGGGCAGUUUGACUGGGGCGGUCGCCUCCUAAAAGGUAACGGAGGCGCUCAAAGGUUCCCUCAGAAUGGUUGGAAAUCAUUCAUAGAGUGUAAAGGCAUAAGGGAGCUUGACUGCGAGACCUACAAGUCGAGCAGGGUCGAAAGACGGACUUAGUGAUCCGGUGGUUCCGCAUGGAAGGGCCAUCGCUCAACGGAUAAAAGCUACCCGGGGAUAACAGGCUUAUCUCCCCCAAGAGUUCACAUCGACGGGGAGGUUUGGCACCUCGAUGUCGGCUCAUCGCAUCCUGGGGCUGUAGUCGGUCCCAAGGGUUGGGCUGUUCGCCCAUUAAAGCGGUACGCGAGCUGGGUUCAGAACGUCGUGAGACAGUUCGGUCCCUAUCCGUCGUGGGCGUAGGAAAUUUGAGAGGAGCUGUCCUUAGUACGAGAGGACCGGGAUGGACAUACCUCUGGUGUACCAGUUGUCGUGCCAACGGCAUAGCUGGGUAGCUAUGUGUGGACGGGAUAAGUGCUGAAAGCAUCUAAGCAUGAAGCCCCCCUCAAGAUGAGAUUUCCCAACUUCGGUUAUAAGAUCCCUCAAAGAUGAUGAGGUUAAUAGGUUCGAGGUGGAAGCAUGGUGACAUGUGGAGCUGACGAAUACUAAUCGAUCGAAGACUUAAUCAAAUU
RNAcentral lists this ribosomal RNA (2925 nucleotides) under Staphylococcus aureus. Its description in RNAcentral is "23S ribosomal RNA". It matches the Rfam family "Bacterial large subunit ribosomal RNA". Lineage: Bacteria; Bacillati; Bacillota; Bacilli; Caryophanales; Staphylococcaceae. The record is from RNAcentral.